Molecule: ribosomal RNA, 253 nt
Filed under: uncultured bacterium
Lineage: Bacteria
Description: partial 16S ribosomal RNA
Rfam family: Bacterial small subunit ribosomal RNA
Source: RNAcentral
UACGUAGGGUGCAGGCGUUACUCGGAAUUACUGGGCGUAAAGCGUGCGCAGGCGGUCUUUUAAGUCAGAUGUGAAAUCCCCGGGCUUAACCUGGGAACUGCGUUUGAAACUGGAAGGCUAGAGUGUGGCAGAGGGGGGUGGAAUUCCACGUGUAGCAGUGAAAUGCGUAGAUAUGUGGAGGAACACCGAUGGCGAAGGCAGCCCCCUGGGCUAACACUGACGCUCAUGCACGAAAGCGUGGGGAGCGAACAGG